This 309-nucleotide long non-coding RNA is filed under the name Heterocephalus glaber (naked mole-rat). RNAcentral describes it as "lncRNA (ENSHGLG00000033117.1)". The record is from RNAcentral. Lineage: Eukaryota; Metazoa; Chordata; Mammalia; Rodentia; Bathyergidae.
AACAUAUGCUCAGCCACUUUGAGUUGUGUUCUUGGUCUGCUUAGAAUUGACCAGUACAACACGGCCUGGCCUCAGGGACCCCAGUUCUUGUGGGACCUGCCGGCUGUAGAUGAAUGGAACUCCUCAGCACCACGUCUCUCAGCCUCUUCUCUUUGUGACUGCUGCUCUCAUCCCCUGAUACCUGGAUUCAUCCAACAGCCUCUUCCUUCAGAGGCUACCACGAUCCACUGCACACACAGCUGUGGGAAUGAAGCUACCCCAUGGUGGUAGCCUGGGUCACACAAGACCACGUGUAUCCACUUAAGCAUG